This 186-nucleotide small nuclear RNA is filed under the name Ochotona princeps (American pika). Its description in RNAcentral is "U1 spliceosomal RNA (ENSOPRG00000022711.1)". It matches the Rfam family "U1 spliceosomal RNA". From Rfam's summary of the family: U1 is a small nuclear RNA (snRNA) component of the spliceosome (involved in pre-mRNA splicing). Its 5' end forms complementary base pairs with the 5' splice junction, thus defining the 5' donor site of an intron. Lineage: Eukaryota; Metazoa; Chordata; Mammalia; Lagomorpha; Ochotonidae. The record is from RNAcentral.
AUACUUACCUGGCAGGGAAGAUACCAUGACCGUGAAGGUGGUUUUCCCAGAGCAAGGUUUACCCAUUGCACUCCAAGUGUGCUGACCACUGCAAUCCCCUCCCAUCCUCCCAAAAUAUCAAUAUGUUCGCUGGCUUGAUGCUAAACAUAUGUCUAGGAAUGUCACGUAUGUAUAUAUUUGCAUUUA